This 1168-nucleotide ribosomal RNA is filed under the name uncultured Bacteroides sp. RNAcentral's name for it is "bacterial SSU rRNA". It matches the Rfam family "Bacterial small subunit ribosomal RNA", at positions 10 to 1176 of the family's 1533-position model. Lineage: Bacteria; Pseudomonadati; Bacteroidota; Bacteroidia; Bacteroidales; Bacteroidaceae. The record is from RNAcentral.
AGUUUGAUCCUGGCUCAGGAUGAACGCUAGCUACAGGCUUAACACAUGCAAGUCGAGGGGCAGCAUUGGAGUAGCAAUACUUCAGAUGGCGACCGGCGCACGGGUGAGUAACACGUAUCCAACCUGCCGCUUACUCGGGGAUAGCCUUUCGAAAGAAAGAUUAAUACCCGAUGGUAUAAAGAGUUCGCAUGUUCUCUUUAUUAAAGAAUUUCGGUAAGCGAUGGGGAUGCGUUCCAUUAGAUUGUUGGCGGGGUAACGGCCCACCAAGUCUACGAUGGAUAGGGGUUCUGAGAGGAAGGUCCCCCACAUUGGAACUGAGACACGGUCCAAACUCCUACGGGAGGCAGCAGUGAGGAAUAUUGGUCAAUGGACGAGAGUCUGAACCAGCCAAGUAGCGUGAAGGAUGACUGCCCUAUGGGUUGUAAACUUCUUUUAUAAGGGAAUAAAGUGAGGGACGUGUCCCUUUUUGUAUGUACCUUAUGAAUAAGGAUCGGCUAACUCCGUGCCAGCAGCCGCGGUAAUACGGAGGAUCCAAGCGUUAUCCGGAUUUAUUGGGUUUAAAGGGAGCGUAGGUUGACAUAUAAGUCAGCUGUGAAAGUUUACGGCUCAACCGUGAAAUUGCAGUUGAUACUGUAUGUCUUGAGUGUACAAGAGGUGGGCGGAAUUCGUGGUGUAGCGGUGAAAUGCUUAGAUAUCACGAAGAACUCCAAUUGCGAAGGCAGCUCACUGGGGUACAACUGACACUGAGGCUCGAAAGUGUGGGUAUCAAACAGGAUUAGAUACCCUGGUAGUCCACACAGCAAACGAUGAAUACUCGCUGUUUGCGAUAUACAGUAAGCGGCCAAGCGAAAGCAUUAAGUAUUCCACCUGGGGAGUACGCCGGCAACGGUGAAACUCAAAGGAAUUGACGGGGGCCCGCACAAGCGGAGGAACAUGUGGUUUAAUUCGAUGAUACGCGAGGAACCUUACCCGGGCUUGAAUUGCGGAGGAACAUAGUUGAAAGAUUAUGGCCGCAAGGUCUCUGUGAAGGUGCUGCAUGGUUGUCGUCAGCUCGUGCCGUGAGGUGUCGGCUUAAGUGCCAUAACGAGCGCAACCCUUAUCAUUAGUUACUAACAGGUCAUGCUGAGGACUCUAGUGAGACUGCCGUCGUAAGAUGUGAGGAAGGUGG